This 443-nucleotide ribosomal RNA is filed under the name uncultured bacterium. RNAcentral's name for it is "partial 16S ribosomal RNA". It matches the Rfam family "Bacterial small subunit ribosomal RNA", at positions 338 to 795 of the family's 1533-position model. The record is from RNAcentral.
CCUACGGGUGGCAGCAGUGGGGAAUAUUGGGCAAUGGGCGCAAGCCUGACCCAGCAACGCCGCGUGAAUGAAGAAGGCUUUCGGGUUGUAAACUUCUUUUCUCAGGGACGAAGAAAGUGACGGUACCUGAGGAAUAAGCCACGGCUAACUACGUGCCAGCAGCCGCGGUAAUACGUAGGUGGCAAGCGUUAUCCGGAUUUAUUGGGUGUAAAGGGCGUGUAGGCGGGAGCGCAAGUCAGAUGUGAAAACCCAGGGCUCAACCCUGAGCCUGCAUUUGAAACUGUGUUUCUUGAGUGCUGGAGAGGCAAUCGGAAUUCCGUGUGUAGCGGUGAAAUGCAUAGAUAUUAGGAGGAACACCAGUGGCGAAGGCGGUCUGCUGGACAGCAACUGACGGUGAGGCGCGAAAGCGUGGGGAGCAAACAGGAUUAGAUACCCCUGUAGUC